RNAcentral lists this unclassified non-coding RNA (380 nucleotides) under uncultured bacterium. RNAcentral's name for it is "contains 16S-23S intergenic spacer region". The record is from RNAcentral.
UCCGGUUUGUCACCGGCAGUCUCCUUAGAGUGCCCACCAUAACGUGCUGGCAACUAAGGUCAAGGGUUGCGCUCGUUGCGGGACUUAACCCAACAUCUCACGACACGAGCUGACGACAACCAUGCACCACCUGUCUAGGGAUCCCGAAGGAGGGACCUGGUUUCUCAGGUCUUUCCCCUAGAUGUCAAGCCCAGGUAAGGUUCUUCGCGUUGCGUCGAAUUAAACCACAUGCUCCGCUGCUUGUGCGGGCCCCCGUCAAUUCCUUUGAGUUUUAGCCUUGCGGCCGUACUCCCCAGGCGGGGCACUUAAUGCGUUAGCUCCGGCACGGGAGGAGUCGACACCUCCCACACCUAGUGCCCAUCGUUUACGGCGUGGACUAC